CCAGACUCCUACGGGAGGCAGCAGUAGGGAAUCUUCGGCAAUGGACGAAAGUCUGACCGAGCAACGCCGCGUGAGUGAAGAAGGUUUUCGGAUCGUAAGACUCUGUUGGUAGAGAAGAACGUUGGUGAGAGUGGAAAGCUCAUCAAGUGACGGUAACUACCCAGAAAGGGACGGCUAACUACGUGCCAGCAGCCGCGGUAAUACGUAGGUCCCGAGCGUUGUCCGGAUUUAUUGGGCGUAAAGCGAGCGCAGGUGGUUUAUUAAGUCUGGUGUAAAAGGCAGUGGCUCAACCAUUGUAUGCAUUGGAAACUGGUAGACUUGAGUGCAGGAGAGGAGAGUGGAAUUCCAUGUGUAGCGGUGAAGUGCGUAGAUAUAUGGAGGAACACCGGUGGCGAAAGCGGCUCUCUGGCCUGUAACUGACACUGAGGCUCGAAAGCGUGGGGAGCAAACAGGAUUAGAUACCCUGGUGGUCCACGCCGUAAACGAUGAGUGCUAGAUGUAGGGAGCUAUAAGUUCUCUGUAUCGCAGCUAACGCAAUAAGCACUCCGCCUGGGGAGUACGACCGCAAGGUUGAAACUCAAAGGAAUUGACGGGGGCCCGCACGAG
This 606-nucleotide ribosomal RNA is filed under the name uncultured bacterium. RNAcentral's name for it is "bacterial SSU rRNA". It matches the Rfam family "Bacterial small subunit ribosomal RNA", at positions 331 to 929 of the family's 1533-position model. The record is from RNAcentral.